Molecule: ribosomal RNA, 926 nt
Filed under: uncultured bacterium
Lineage: Bacteria
Description: bacterial SSU rRNA
Rfam family: Bacterial small subunit ribosomal RNA
Source: RNAcentral
ACGCUGGCGGCGUGCCUAAUACAUGCAAGUAGAACGCUGAAGGAGGAGCUUGCUUCUCUGGAUGAGUUGCGAACGGGUGAGUAACGCGUAGGUAGCCUGCCUGGUAGCGGGGGAUAACUAUUGGAAACGAUAGCUAAUACCGCAUAAUAGUAGAUGUUGCAUGACAUUUGCUUAAAAGAUGCAAUUGCAUCACUACCAGAUGGACCUGCGUUGUAUUAGCUAGUUGGUGGGGUAACGGCUCACCAAGGCGACGAUACAUAGCCGACCUGAGAGGGUGAUCGGCCACACUGGGACUGAGACACGGCCCAGACUCCUACGGGAGGCAGCAGUAGGGAAUCUUCGGCAAUGGACGAAAGUCUGACCGAGCAACGCCGCGUGAGUGAAGAAGGUUUUCGGAUCGUAAAGCUCUGUUGUAAGAGAAGAACGAGUGUGAGAGUGGAAAGUUCACACUGUGACGGUAUCUUACCAGAAAGGGACGGCUAACUACGUGCCAGCAGCCGCGGUAAUACGUAGGUCCCGAGCGUUGUCCGGAUUUAUUGGGCGUAAAGCGAGCGCAGGCGGUUAGAUAAGUCUGAAGUUAAAGGCUGUGGCUUAACCAUAGUACGCUUUGGAAACUGUUUAACUUGAGUGCAAGAGGGGAGAGUGGAAUUCCAUGUGUAGCGGUGAAAUGCGUAGAUAUAUGGAGGAACACCGGUGGCGAAAGCGGCUCUCUGGCUUGUAACUGACGCUGAGGCUCGAAAGCGUGGGGAGCAAACGGGAUUAGAUACCCUGGUAGUCCACGCCGUAAACGAUGAGUGCUAGGUGUUAGACCCUUUCCGGGGUUUAGUGCCGCAGCUAACGCAUUAAGCACUCCGCCUGGGGAGUACGACCGCAAGGUUGAAACUCAAAGGAAUUGACGGGGGCCCGCACAAGCGGUGGAGCAUGUG